AUUGAACGCUGGCGGCAUGCCUAACACAUGCAAGUCGAGCGGACGAAUGGAGCUUGCUCCUGGCUUCAGCUGCGGACGGGCGAGUAAUGCCCAGGAAUCUGCCUUGUCUUGGGGGAUGACGUCCGGAGACGGGCGCUGAUAUCACACACGAUCAGAGGUUGAAAGUGGGGGAUCUUAGGUGCUAACGCUUCUUGCUGAGCCUUGUACGGAUUAGCGAGUUGGUGGGGUAAAGGCCUACCAAGGCGACGAUCCGUAACUGGUCUGAGAGGAUGACCAGUCACACUGGAACUAAGACACGGUCCAGACUCCUACGGGAGGCAGCAGUGGGGAAUAUUCGGCAAUGGGCGAAAGCCUGAUCCAGCCAUGCCGCGUGUGUGAAGAAGGUCUUCGGAUUGUAAAGCACUUUUAGUUGGGAAGAAGGGCAGUAAGUUAAUACCUUGCUGUUUUGACGUUACCAACAGAAUAAGCACCGGCUAACUUCGUG
This 484-nucleotide ribosomal RNA is filed under the name uncultured bacterium. RNAcentral's name for it is "partial 16S ribosomal RNA". It matches the Rfam family "Bacterial small subunit ribosomal RNA", at positions 30 to 507 of the family's 1533-position model. The record is from RNAcentral.